Molecule: ribosomal RNA, 660 nt
Filed under: uncultured Bacteroidales bacterium
Lineage: Bacteria; Pseudomonadati; Bacteroidota; Bacteroidia; Bacteroidales
Description: bacterial SSU rRNA
Rfam family: Bacterial small subunit ribosomal RNA
Source: RNAcentral
ACACAUGCAAGUCGAGGGGCAGCAUGAACUUAGCUUGCUAAGUUUGAUGGCGACCGGCGCACGGGUGAGUAACACGUAUCCAACCUGCCGAUGACUCGGGGAUAGCCUUUCGGAAGAAAGAUUAAUACCCGAUGGCAUAAUUCUUCCGCAUGGUAGAAUUAUUAAAGAAUUUCGGUCAUCGAUGGGGAUGCGUUCCAUUAGGUUGUUGGCGGGGUAACGGCCCACCAAGCCUUCGAUGGAUAGGGGUUCUGAGAGGAAGGUCCCCCACAUUGGAACUGAGACACGGUCCAAACUCCUACGGGAGGCAGCAGUGAGGAAUAUUGGUCAAUGGACGAGAGUCUGAACCAGCCAAGUAGCGUGAAGGAUGACUGCCCUAUGGGUUGUAAACUUCUUUUAUACGGGAAUAAAGUGAGGCACGUGUGCCUUUUUGUAUGUACCGUAUGAAUAAGGAUCGGCUAACUCCGUGCCAGCAGCCGCGGUAAUACGGAGGAUCCGAGCGUUAUCCGGAUUUAUUGGGUUUAAAGGGAGCGUAGGCGGACGCUUAAGUCAGUUGUGAAAGUUUGCGGCUCAACCGUAAAAUUGCAGUUGAUACUGGGUGUCUUGAGUACAGUAGAGGCAGGCGGAAUUCGUGGUGUAGCGGUGAAAUGCUUAGAUAUCACG